UUUUUUUUUCUUUUUUUUUAGGUUAUAGAAGAGAUGGUUUGUAUAAAAAAGUUUAAAAUUAUUUUGAACAAAUUUAGAACCUAAAGAAGAUACAUCCUUGUAUCCCCCUUUUGUUCUCUUCUCUUCCUCUAUGGGUGUGUACACAUCCGUAUAAUAUAUACUACUACAUACAUGCAUGUCUGCAUACACACGUGUGUGCGUAUGUAUGUGUAUAAAGUUCCCUGACACUUCUACUGAAAUGAACACUCUGUCCUGCAGGGUCAGCCUUUACUCAUUAGGUGAAGAGGGGUGUGCAAAAUGCCUUGAAGAGUAUCUCAUCUUAGCUGGGCUGAACAAGGGGCCCCCAACUUGAGCAAACACGAGCAUGAAAUAAUGCCUUCCUGAAAAUACCAUACGUCACUCACACACAUCAACAAACCCCGGGGGGAGGGGGGAGCUAAUAAGGAUUAAACUAACAGUUGGUUACUCUCUGCUCAAUAAUUCAAAAGCAAAAUUAGACUCUGUCCACAUGGUAGAUUAGGACAAAGCCUGCUGUCAUCCCCACAUUUCCCUCUCCCUCUAUAGGGUUAUCCCAAGAAUUUUUAAAUCAAACAAAUGGCUAAACUUCCCUCACUUCACAAUUUUAAUAAAGCAGUAUUGGUUCAACAGAUUCAAUGUAUAAUUAAAGUAAACCUCUCUGCUUUAUCCAUUUUAGUUGAACUACGAGGUGGGGAGGAACUAGGGCUUCAUUUUAAAAAAUCAGCUUUCCAAAAUCCAAACCAGUCAGACUUCUGAGAUGAAGGAUGAUUUGGGGCUUUCCUAAUAAAUCCUAUUUUUAUCAGCCGACUUGCCUUGGAGUUUAAGUCCUAACUAAAGCCAAGCAGCUUUGCCUUAACAUGAUAAUACCCUUGAAAGCUACUUAAAUUCACAUGGCUGUUGCUUCUACAUGAAAGGGCUCAGGUCUGCCACACAUUCGACCAAUACUCGGUGUGUGCCUAUGAUGUCUAACACAUCUGUUAGCCAAUGAGGAGCAGGAACCAGACAAUAUCUGCUUAUAGGACUCCCAUCUUGGUGGUGGAGACACACAUGUUGACAGAUACAUAACAUUCAGCUUAUUAAGUGAAACCUACAAUCUGGAUAUAAUCCAGAUUGAACAGAAGGUGACAGGAAAGAACAGGUGUGAAAGAGGAAAUUUGAGCAGAUUUUCUGAAAACCUCAAUGAGUUUGCUAGGUGAAGAAUGUGAGGAAAAGAAUUCCCAAUACAGAGAACAGUAUGUGAAGAGCCAUAGGGUUGGGAUGGGCAUGGAUGGCCACCUGCAGGCAGAAGUGAGCUCUGUAGCUGGAAGCAGGUUUGGGCUGGAAGGGCUGGAGAGCUGGGAAAGCUGUGCAAAGGCAGUGUUGAUGGCCUCAGAGACCAGCCAAGAAGGACUAUGUCUGUUCUUAACCAUGCUUUUCUUUUCUGCAGUUUAUGCUCUUUGGCAUCUCAGGGGCUUGCUGACAUGGGAGAGACUGUCCCUCCUGGGGAUAGAUAAUCUCUAGAGAUACUAAACUACUUACCUGUGAACAUGCCUUUGAUAUGCAAUCAAUCAUUCUCAGGUUCAAACCCCCACCUGCCUCCUCUAGCAGGCCCCUUUCCUCUACCACUCCAGGGUCAACUAGAACUGUAGGAGCUCCUGCAAUGAGUCAAACAACCCAGUUCCAAACCUGCUCAGCUGCUGACCCUGCUUUCCUGUAAAAACCACAACAGAAGCUCUUGCUCUUUUCUUCUUCCUCCCUUUUGCCUCCUCACCAACGAUGGUGCUUCCCAGGUGGUUUCUUAGGAACCACACGUAGCAAAAGAUUGUUUCAGUCAUUUCCUGGUCUGUGCCCUUCCUCAUACCUGAAAUAAAAAUGAAAUUCUAGGUACAUUUAAAAACAGUGUCCUGGGAGUUCCCCUUGUCACAGGGCUAAGAACCCAACAUAGUGUCCAUAAUGAUAGGGGUUAUUUCCUGGCCUCACUCAGUGGGUUAAGGAUCUAGUGUUGCCACAAGCUGUGACAUAGGUUGCAGACACGGCUCAGAUCUGGUGUUGCUGAGGCUGUGGAGUAAGCCCACAGCUGCAGCUCUGAAUUAACCCAUAGCCUGAGAACUUCCAUAUGCCAAGGGCGCAGCCAUAAAAAGGCAAAAAUAGUUUAGCAGAAGCAUUAAAAUAUAGCUUAUGAUUUUUCUCCCAGGAAGGCAACUAAUGACAGUUCUGAGAACUGCCUGGAGUGCAGGAAGACUGAGGCAUAUCACACCAAUAAAAAGAUCCUGUUAUCAUCCAAGAGCAUAAUGCCACUGAAGGGCUGGUAGGAGGGAGGGAUGGAAAGACUUCUGAAUUUUGCAUUCUUGUAUCUUAUAUUUGCAGUUGUUCUGUCUUCUUACUUUCCUAUCACUUUCCUAUCCCAUCUUUUCUGGUUGUUAGCACACUUCUAAGAUUAUUCUCUUCUCUAAUUUGCUAUUUCUAAGUGGGCCUGGGCUGGGCUGCCACAUACUCUGGUUUAGUAGAAGAGUAUUUAAGAAAGAGUAAAUGGACUGCAUGAUGAAGGCUGCAAGAACACACUUGCAGACACAACCUAUGAGCCAAAAGUAUGGAUAUAUCAUGAGGCUCUAAAUAUUCAGAGGUUUGUUUGAGCUCAAUUCCAGGCCUCAGAAUUCUGAGUAUUUCAGAUGGAGGAGUAUCAUUUGCAUAAACUGAAAGGCAGAGAGAUUUGGAAAGGCUGGAGUAUCAUCUGCAGUAGGCACCUCAUUGCUCCUGGCCACAGAGGAGAAGCUUGUUGACCAGCUUCCUGUUCUGGCCAUGCUUCUUAUGGAACUAUGUGUGUGUAUGGUGCAGGACCUCAUUCAGAACCUGCCCACAGAAACCAGAGUAUAAUGACAAAAAUUAACCAUGGACACAAAUUAUAACCUAUUCUGCAGAAAGGGCCAUCCAUGCCAUAUUUCAGGCUCCAGGAACAUAGAGAACAGACUUGUGGUUGCCAAAGGGGAGGGAGAAGAAGUGGGAUGGAUGGGGAGUUUGGGGUUAGUAGAUGCAAGCUAUUCCAUUUAGAAUGGAUAAGCAAUGAAGUCAUACUGUAUAGCACAGGGAACUAUAUCCAGUCUCUUGGGAUAGACCAUGAUGGAAGACAGAAUGAGAAAAGAAAUGUGAGUGUGUGUGUGUGUGUGUGUGUGUGUGUGUGUGUGUGUGUGACUAAUUGUGCUGUGUAGCAGACAUUGAUGCAGCACUGUAAAUCAACAAUAUUUCAAAAUAAAAAUAAAAUAAAAUUGAAAGAAAAAUAAAGAUAAUCUAAAUUAAAAAAAAUAACCUCCUUGCUGAGUCCAGAGGCAUUCUAGAAAGAAUUUCCAGGAGAGAAGAAGAGGAAAAUGGGAGAUGGAAAAAUUCACAAAAGCAUAUAUUCGACAGGGAGUUGAUCUUCCAGAAGGCAAACCGGUGCCUGAGCCCACAAAUAUCGAUCUCCUGCCUGAGCUUCAGUUUCCUUAACUAAGAUGACACUGAUGGUGUUGAAAGUUGGUGAGGCAAGUGGAGGAGGGAGAGGAGAAGACUGUGGUUAAUAAAUGUGGUUCAAGCAAUCUGGUGUGUAUCUGACCUUUAUCUUUCAAAUUACCUGUGUAAAUCCAGACAAGUCAAUGAAUCCAGAUAGAUGACUGUGUUAUGGGAGACAAUGAAAUUAGGGGAGCAAAUUCUAAUACAAGGAAAAAUGGAGGUGGUGGUCCAGUCCACAGCAUCCUGCGCUGCAGUUUGUCUUAAGUGACUUCCUGAGGGUGAUGCUGAGUGAAGAGGACUGAUUGCUAAUGGGAAUGGAUGACCAGUUUUCUUAUAGGGGAGAAUGAUGAAUACUUGAUCUCAGAAGUUGUUUUCAGAAGGGAGAUGAACAUCAAGAAAUAUGUUAGGGGUGUCUUCUCUCCAAAAUGGGGUAGGAAAACAAACCUACCCAUGUCACAUGCUCCAGAUGGCUCAUGGGAAACAUUAAGAGCCUGAUACCUUACUUUUUUUCAAGGAAACUCUUUAGUUCACCCCAUUAUCACAUUAAUACUUGCUUUUGUCUGUUUCCCUAGAGCUUCUUCCCCCAAGUACAAAAUCAUGCUAUUUUGCAUAACUUUGGACUUAGCUCUCUAAUUCAGCUUUAGGACCUUCUAAGUAAAAUUUAUAAGCACUAAGUAAAAUUUAUAAGUAAGGGCUUAGAUUGUAAAAAAAAGAUAUCCCUGCCAGUACCAGUUACCCUUCUUACGACUGAGAUUCAGACAAGGCACAAAGGGAACAUGUAUGAGGGACUCUGAGUACCUUUUAAAAAAUUUUUUUUCUGUCUUCUUAGGGCCACACCUGUGGCAUAUGGAAGUUCCUAGAUGAGGGGUUGAAUCAGAGCUACAGCCACAGUCACAGCAACAUGGGUUAUGAGCCACACCUGCAACCUACACCACAGCUCAUGGCAAUGCCGGAUCCUUAACACAUUGAGCAAGGCCAGAGAUUGAACCUGCCUCCUCAUGGAUACUAGUUGGGGUCAUUACUGCUGAGCCACAGCAGGAACUCCUCCAAGUACCUUCUGAUGGACCUUCGUCUACGCUCAUUUUCCUGUGGCUUCUGUUCUUAGCCUAUGAAAACAUGUCCCAGAUUAUUACAGACCUUUAUUAAUUAAGGCAAACACUCACUGCUGUGAAAGAUGAAUCCUAAAAUCUCAGUGACAACACACUGGUUUAUUUCUCAUUCACACAAGGUCCAAAUGGAGGUUGUAGAUGAAGAGGACAAGUCCUGCAAUUAUGCAGGAUCCAGACUAACAGGUGAUCUGCAGUAUUGACAUGGGGUUUCUAGGACUGCCUGGUCUUUCUUUUUUUUUUUUUUUUUUUUUUUUUUUUUUGUCUUUCUGUCUUUUUCUAGUGCUGCACCCACGGCAUGUGGAGGUUCCCAGGCUAGGGGUCUAAUCGGAGCUAUAGCCACUAGUCUAUGCCAAAGCCACAGAAACUCCAGAUCUGAGCUGCAUCUAUGACCUACACCACAGUUCACAGCAACACUGGAUCCUUAACUCACUGAGCAAGGCCAGGGAUCUAACCCGAUAUCUCAUGGUUCCUAGUCAGAUUCGUUAACCACUGAGCCAUGAUGGGAACUCCUGUCUGGUCUUUCAAAGGUGUCAGCAGAUAGGGGAGCAGAAAGAAUGGAGCUGUAGGGGCAUUUAAUAUGCAGGAUGCAAGGACAGAUGAAGUCACCUAACCUUUGGUGAAGCUGGGGGUUUAGCUGAAUUGUCUGCUCAGGAAGAAUGAGAAACAAUGUCAUGAACAGCUAGCCGGUUGCUGGUCUGCUCAAGUGAAAGAGAUUUGGACUGAGAGGCAGAAGGAUUGAGCCCUACCCAGUUCAAUGGGUAGGAUUGAGCCCUACCCAUUAAUUUAACACAAUCUCUUCAUUUGAUUAACUUCCCCUGAUAUUGAAUUUCAUAUCAACAAUAAAUACAAUGUCUGGUCCCUAAUAAAGCUUCCAGAGCUAAUAGAACAUAAAUUUGUAAUAAUAACCAAAAAAAAAAAAGAAAGGAAGAUUUAUAGGUAGAAAGAGUCUAUUUAUUUAUUUAUUUUUGUUUUUGUUGCUUACUACAUUUUUGUCCUGUGUCUUACAAUUGAUCCUGGUUGAUACUUUAUACCUACCCAAAGCAUUUUCUUUUGUCUUUUUAGGGUUGCACCUGUGGCAUAUGGAUAUUCCCAGGCUAGGGGUUGAAUUUGUGCCAACCUAUACCACAGCUCACAGCAGUGCCUGAUUCUUAACUCACUGAGUGUGGCUAGGGAUCGAACCCUUGUCUUCAUGGAUACUAGUUGGGUUCGAGUACAUCUGUAUUGUGUUCUAUAGUGUCUAAAUGCAGUUUUGCUUAUUUAUUUUCAUUUUUAAAAGUUUUAUUGAAGUGUAGUUGAUUUAAAAGGUUGUGAUAAUUUCUGCUGUAUAUCAAAGUAAUUCAGUGAUAAGCAUGCACACAUCCAUUCUUUUUCAGAUUCUUUUCCCUACAUAGAUUAUCACAGAAUAUUGGCUAGAGUUCCUGGGGCUACACAGUAGGUCUCUGUUGGACUGUUGUUCCAUCUUAGCUAAUAUCAAUUUAUUUGUUUCCUUCUCAUCUUGGUUAAGUUCCCAGGUAACAUGUCUACAAAAUCUUGGGAAUGAGGUCCAAAACAUGAAGAUUCUGUAACUAGAGAUGUGGAGCACAAGUAGCUAUUACAGAUACUCCUUAACUCAUGACAGUUUGGCUUAAGGAUUUUUUUUGACUUUAUGAUGGUGUGAAAAUGCUAUGCAUUCAGUAGGAAAGGUGUUUUGAGUUUUGAAUUUUGAUCUUCUCCUGGGAUAAUGACAGGUUCUAUGGUACCUUCUCACCACGGUGGGUGGCAGAAGUGAGCUGCAGCUCCCAGUCAGCCAUGUGGUCACUGUAAAGUCAACAAACCAUACAGUUAUAACCAUUUUACCCAAAUGAGCAUUGUUUUUCACUUUCAGUACAGUAUUCAACAAAUACAUGAGCAGACAACAUAAUAGGCUUUGUGUCAGAUGAUUUUGCCCAACUCCAGGCUAAUAAGUGUUUUGAGCACAUUUAAGGUAGGCUAGGCUAAGCUAUAGUGCUUUAUAGGUCAGGUGUGUUGAAUGCAUUUUUGACAUAAGAUGUUUUCACUUUAUAAUGUAGUUAUUGGGAUAGCAUCUCAUCUUAAGUCAGGGAAGAUCUGUAAUUUAAAUGAUUGAUAGCAGAGAAGAUCGUAUUUUCCUCAGAACUGGUAUCUCCUACAACAUCAAAUAAAUAUUUUUUCUGGAAAGUGUAUAAAAUUUAAUUCCUUACUUAACUUGUUAACAACUAACAGUGCAUUUAAUGUUCCCAUCACUUGACUAUGACUGUUUCCACUUCUCCUCUGCCAUAAAUGCUCUCCAUGAAAGUAAGUCCCCCAAAUACAUAUUCAAAUAACUACCAUGAAUUGUCAAGUAAUCCAUUGUCUAAUGAUUAUUUUCAAGUGUAUAUAUCACAAACUAUCACAUUCAAUAAACUAAUGACAAAAUUG
This 7004-nucleotide long non-coding RNA is filed under the name Sus scrofa (pig). RNAcentral describes it as "lncRNA (ENSSSCG00060059185.1)". Lineage: Eukaryota; Metazoa; Chordata; Mammalia; Artiodactyla; Suidae. The record is from RNAcentral.